CAAAUACUUAAUUCAUUGGCUCGAAUCUAGGUUUUGGCUUUAGAUUUCGAGAAAAUGUACAACUAAGGAAUCAUUUUUCACUUCUGACUUCUCAAACCCCAAAUCACGGCAUCGGUCGACUACCUACAGUCUUCUUCCCAGCGGUCCCGGUCGACUCCGGAUGUUGCGUCUGGGUUUAGGAAUUCUGGUUAUGUCAUUUCCUCAUGAAGUUGAAAGUAAGUUUGCAGGCGAAUGCACUUACAAAAUGGAUGUUGAAACUGUGGCGCACAUUUCUCGGCAACAUUAGAAGUCUGGUAAAAGUAUUGAUUUGAAGGAAAGACGAGCAGAUUCUGGGGCCCUGCCUCUAAAAUGAGUCUCUCUGGGGAGAGAGAGGAGGGGGGCCCUGCCUCUAAAAUGAGUCUCUCUGGGGAGAGAGAGGAGGGGGUCCCUGCAUCUAAAAUGAGUCUCUCUGGGGAACAUGACACCAAAGCUAAGAGGUGAGAUGACAAUUUUUGAUAUCAUUAUUUUGAGUUUAUUUCCAAAAUGUUCACAUUUGUUUUUUUAAUCAGAAAUGGUUGCUUAUGGGUUCCUUCAAUAUUACUGUUCUCAGAUUUUUUAUUUAUAGAUUUUAGAUUUUAUAUGUAUAUAUAUAUUUUUAUUUAUUGCAAAACGCUAUAAAUCCAUUGUUUAGCUGGAAUAUAAUGCUCCUAUCUUGUAUAUUUGACUGUAUUAUGAGCUUGGAUAAGAGCAUCUGCUAAAUCAGGGGUUCUCAAUCCGGGGUCUGUGGAGGUACUGCAGGGGUUCUCAAUCCGGGGUCUGUGGAGGUACUGCAGGGGUUCUCAAUCCGGGGUCUGUGGAGGUACUGCAGGGGUUCCACGGCACCCUGACUGUACUCGUUGCAAUGUUAGACAUUUUAUAGAAUUUUAACAUGACAAAACCACUUUGCCUACUUAAUUAUUGCCUAAUAUAAUGUAAUGCAUACUUUUUUAACCAAUUGUGAUCGUUGAUACAAACAUAAUUUGGACAUUAUUACCAUUAUAUCAACACACUCUUCAUAUCCGUUUAACAACUCUAAAUAUCUUUGGCAUAGUAGUCAUCAAGUCCCUUGCCAAUAAUGUUAUAAGCAUCAUACUAGUUAUCCUAUCCUCUCUCGUUGAUUGAUGCUGGCAACCUCUGUCCGGUGCUCCUCCAUUCACUAGAUGGACUGUAACUUCCGUGUUUAACCCCUCUGUGUCCAAGAACCAAACUUUUUAAUAUUAUUUUCGGGAGGGCCUCAAGUAGGCUGGACAAAUCCCAUUUUUAACAUUUCUUUCUGAUAAAAACUAGUUCAUUGCAUCCGCCAUGGAGCCCAGUUUCAUAAUAUUAAAUAUGUUAAAUAGUAAUCGCUACAAAACAGGCCUUAUUUUAGGUCAUUCUUCUCCCUGCCAGCUCCUAUUAGUUCUAUUGAGCUCCGUGGAAUCAACUCACCUUCUGAACGUUCUAUUCCCAGCUCAUUGUUCUGCGUCACAAUGGCAGCGUCACUAUUGCUAUCAAUCAGACCUGCCUACGUUUACCUUGGGUUUAUUUCUAAGCGAAUUUUAAGUGCACCAACCCUGUUUGCUGAACUACACGUUGUGGUGACCCACAGGACUAAACGUUAAACAUUUUCUGGUCAUGGUUAACCAUAUUUAUUUUCAAAAAAGAGGUAUACAACCUAAACAAUACACAUAUCCCUGUCCUCUUUUUCAAGACGUGGCCGAUUUAAACAGCCAGAAUACAUUUUUUUGUUACGAAAUAACACUUUUUUUUUGACUUCUUGUCGUUUCUAAAUGGCUGCUGGGUAAUUUGAUAUGCAUCGAAAUUGAGUGAAUGCUGCGCAGGUUCACUGAGUUGCAAACCAAAUGGACAGGUGUAGCUCAUUGAUUUGUAGAUCUGACUCAGUGGCUACCUCCGAUUAUGAGCCUAGCAGGUGUCGUGAAUGAGUUAUGUAGUACCCAGAGGCCACAGGGAGGAGCAAGAGAGCUAUAAACGCAUACUGUUUCUUGCCUUAAAACCCCUAAACCUAAAAAUCUAUCAAAUGUAUUUAUAAAGCCCUUUUUACAUCAGCAGAUGUCACAAUGUGCUAUACAGAAACUCUAAC
Molecule: long non-coding RNA, 2098 nt
Organism: Oncorhynchus tshawytscha (Chinook salmon)
Lineage: Eukaryota; Metazoa; Chordata; Actinopteri; Salmoniformes; Salmonidae
Source: Ensembl